CGGGAAGUGGCGCAGCUUGGUAGCGCACCUGCUUUGGGAGCAGGGGGCCGCGGGUUCAAAUCCCGCCUUCCCGAC
Molecule: transfer RNA, 75 nt
Filed under: Ferrimicrobium acidiphilum DSM 19497
Lineage: Bacteria; Bacillati; Actinomycetota; Acidimicrobiia; Acidimicrobiales; Acidimicrobiaceae
Description: tRNA-Pro
Rfam family: tRNA
About the family: Transfer RNA (tRNA) molecules are approximately 80 nucleotides in length. Their secondary structure includes four short double-helical elements and three loops (D, anti-codon, and T loops).
Source: RNAcentral